AACCUUAUGGACCUGCGGGCGUAUACCUGCGGAGGGAUCAUUACAAGUGACCCCGGUCUAACCACCGGGAUGUUCAUAACCCUUUGUUGUCCGACUCUGUUGCCUCCGGGGCGACCCUGCCUUCGGGCGGGGGCUCCGGGUGGACACUUCAAACUCUUGCGUAACUUUGCAGUCUGAGUAAACUUAAUUAAUAAAUUAAAACUUUUAGCAAUGGAUCUCAGAUCGGAAGAGCACAUGUCU
Molecule: unclassified non-coding RNA, 240 nt
Filed under: soil metagenome
Description: partial contains 5.8S ribosomal RNA, internal transcribed spacer 2, and large subunit ribosomal RNA
Source: RNAcentral